Molecule: ribosomal RNA, 496 nt
Filed under: uncultured bacterium
Lineage: Bacteria
Description: partial 16S ribosomal RNA
Rfam family: Bacterial small subunit ribosomal RNA
Source: RNAcentral
GAUGAACGCUGGCGGCGUGCCUAAUACAUGCAAGUCGAGCGAACGGACGAGAAGCUUGCUUCUCUGAUGUUAGCGGCGGACGGGUGAGUAACACGUGGAUAACCUACCUAUAAGACUGGGAUAACUUCGGGAAACCGGAGCUAAUACCGGAUAAUAUUUUGAACCGCAUGGUUCAAAAGUGAAAGACGGUCUUGCUGUCACUUAUAGCUGGAUCCGCGCUGCAUUAGCUAGUUGGUAAGGUAACGGCUUACCAAGGAAACGAUGCAUAGCCGACCUGAGAGGGUGAUCGGCAGAACUGGAAUUGAGACACGGUCCAGACUCCUACGGGAGGCAGCAGUAGGGAAUCUUCCGCAAUGGGCGAAAGCAGGACGGAGCAACGCAGCGUGAGUGAUGAAGGUCUUCGGAUCGUAAAACUCUGUUAUUAGGGAAGAACAUAUGUGUAAGUAACUGUGCACAUCGUGACGGUACCUAAUCAGAAAGCCACGGCUAACUGCGU